UUAAUUGAAGCCAAAUCAGAGGCAAUUUAUUGUUAAUAAAUCUACUGGUAUGAAAUACCCAAUUAAA
RNAcentral lists this transfer RNA (67 nucleotides) under Trachypeplus jacobsoni. RNAcentral describes it as "tRNA-Asn". Lineage: Eukaryota; Metazoa; Arthropoda; Insecta; Hemiptera; Tingidae. The record is from RNAcentral.